This 471-nucleotide ribosomal RNA is filed under the name uncultured bacterium. RNAcentral's name for it is "bacterial SSU rRNA". It matches the Rfam family "Bacterial small subunit ribosomal RNA", at positions 32 to 518 of the family's 1533-position model. The record is from RNAcentral.
AACGCUGGCGGCGUGCCUAAUACAUGCAAGUCGAAUGGUAGUAGCAAUACAAACCAUGGCGAACGGGUGAGUAACACGUAGGCAACCUGACGUUUAAGACGAGGAUAACCGUUGGAAACGACGGAUAAUACUGGAUAGGACAUCAGAAAGGGCAUCCUUAGAUGUUUAAAGGUUAUUAUGCCACUUAGAGAGGGGCCUGCGGCGCAUUAGCUAGUUGGUGAGAUAACAGCCCACCAAGGCGAUGAUGCGUAGCCGGACUGAGAGGUUGAACGGCCACAAUGGAACUGAGAACGGUCCAUACUCCUACGGGAGGCAGCAGUAGGGAAUUUUCGGCAAUGGGCGCAAGCCUGACCGAGCAACGCCGCGUGAACGAAGAAGUUAUUCGUAAUGUAAAGUUCUUUUAUCUGGGAAGAAAAACAAAUUGACGGUACCAGAUGAAUAAGCUCCGGCUAACUACGUGCCAGCCGCAGC